Long non-coding RNA from Eriocheir sinensis (Chinese mitten crab), 1275 nucleotides. RefSeq lists it as uncharacterized. The record is from RefSeq and is a predicted model, not a curated record. Lineage: Eukaryota; Metazoa; Arthropoda; Malacostraca; Decapoda; Varunidae. The transcript has 5 exons.
GGGAAGGAUUGGUAAUGGGACUGGUGGAUAGGAAAUGUGUGAUGUUUCCCAAAGCUCUUGCUCGAUACUCUGUUUUUUAGUAGCUAUGAUGGCGUACGAUAAAACGCCAGUAAUACACAAGUUCACUACUGUAACAAGGCUGAGACCGGCGACAAUGAAAGUAGUAGUGGUGAAGGUAAUAAUAAUAGUAAUAAUAAUAAUAAUAAUAAUAAUAAUAAUGACGGUCAGCCCAUCGUUUCUGCGUGGCGUGAAAAUAAAAGCACGAGGGAGUGACGCAGCCUCGAAGCGUGACCGCGGUAUCACAACACGUCGCGGGUGGGGCACACACGGCCAUGGGUGGAACACACACACACACACACACACACACACACACACACACACACACACAGAGACUAAGUGAGGAUGUAGUAUCGGCGAGGCGUGUGCAAAUCCUUAAGGAAAAGUUGGAUAAAUGCAGAUACGGAGACGGAACCUCACGAGCGUAAAGCAUAGGCCCUGUAAAACUACAACUAGGUAAACACACACCAAAUUACACUAACAUCCCAUCAGUCACAUUAGUAGUUAUCUUAUGAAGUAUGUUUUGUUCUUUCGUUCUUUCUGAAGAUGGAUUACUUAUCAUUUCUUUACUUAUUCUAUUACAGUGAGCGCCAAGAGACAAGUUAUCACCCCGAAGGACAUGUGUAUAACGCCGCUGAAGGAUAACUCUUGAAGCCGAGGAAUGGCCUGGUGGAAUAAGGCAAGACGUGUCACAGCUCUCUGGACAGGAAAAGCUGAGCGAUGGGUCAACCGCGCCACAAUGAAAGCAAACCAGGCCUCGUGUUUAAGCCUGCCAGGUGAACGGACAAGUGGAGCAGAGCCCAGGCACUUCCCACGUCAGCGGUGAGUCAUGCACGCCUCCAUUGCUCCGGUCUACCCUCUGCUUCCUGGCACCGUGGCCCUGCGUGCGGCGAUGAGGUUUUCCCUAGGAGGAUGCUGGGAGGGAGGCUGACACGAGGGCUGUGUGGUCUGCAAAUAAAACUCAAGGACUUCCCAUUAAAAAGUGACUAGCUUCAAUAAGUACUUGAGACUUCCAGUGGGGCAAGAAGUUGGCAAACCCUUCAGCAUGCCUGAAAGGAAAACUUGGUCCUGAAUAUCUGUACAGCAGCGCCUCUGCAAUACUUGGUGAUGGUGUGGGAUUGAGCUGAGCUGCACGCCACCCCCACCCUGCCCCUGAGGCGGUGAUGCUGCACUAGGAAGAGUCCACAGCCUCAAGAGGAGACACAACGUAAACAUGAU